This is a long non-coding RNA of Sardina pilchardus (European sardine), 349 nucleotides long. RefSeq lists it as uncharacterized. The transcript is spliced from 3 exons. The record is from RefSeq and is a predicted model, not a curated record. Lineage: Eukaryota; Metazoa; Chordata; Actinopteri; Clupeiformes; Clupeidae.
CGGGAAAUUGUCGUAACUUCCUGUAUUGUGUUGGUAUGGGUGAAGUUGGCGCGACAUUUCUGGGUGCAUUCUUUGGGAGUUCUUGGACAUUUUUACAUGCUAUAGAUAUACUGGGAGCUGCAAAGAUCCCUCAUGUUCUAUCUGAGAGCCUAUAGGCUAUAGCCUUGCAAAUCCAUCUGUGGGAGUGCGUAGACCUACCUGAUCAUGGAUGAAAUCAUAGAGAACAUGCGUGGUGACACCGGGCAUUCUGAUUCUGCAUCUGAAACCUUUGUGUACAACGAGGAAGAUUCAGUGGAUAUUUAUGCUGGCCUUCAGGAUAGUCCAGAGAAGAAUGGAGAUACAGGCAAGA